Molecule: ribosomal RNA, 790 nt
Filed under: Enterobacter cloacae
Lineage: Bacteria; Pseudomonadati; Pseudomonadota; Gammaproteobacteria; Enterobacterales; Enterobacteriaceae
Description: partial 23S ribosomal RNA
Rfam family: Bacterial large subunit ribosomal RNA
Source: RNAcentral
UAUAAUGGGUCAGCGACUUAUAUUCUGUAGCAAGGUUAACCGUAUAGGGGAGCCGAAGGGAAACCGAGUCUUAACUGGGCGUUAAGUUGCAGGGUAUAGACCCGAAACCCGGUGAUCUAGCCAUGGGCAGGUUGAAGGUUGGGUAACACUAACUGGAGGACCGAACCGACUAAUGUUGAAAAAUUAGCGGAUGACCUGUGGCUGGGGGUGAAAGGCCAAUCAAACCGGGAGAUAGCUGGUUCUCCCCGAAAGCUAUUUAGGUAGCGCCUCGUGAACUCAUCUUCGGGGGUAGAGCACUGUUUCGGCUAGGGGGCCAUCCCGGCUUACCAACCCGAUGCAAACUACGAAUACCGAAGAAUGUUAUCACGGGAGACACACGGCGGGUGCUAACGUCCGUCGUGAAGAGGGAAACAACCCAGACCGCCAGCUAAGGUCCCAAAGUCAUGGUUAAGUGGGAAACGAUGUGGGAAGGCCCAGACAGCCAGGAUGUUGGCUUAGAAGCAGCCAUCAUUUAAAGAAAGCGUAAUAGCUCACUGGUCGAGUCGGCCUGCGCGGAAGAUGUAACGGGGCUAAACCAUGCACCGAAGCUGCGGCAGCGACGCUUAUGCGUUGUUGGGUAGGGGAGCGUUCUGUAAGCCGUUGAAGGUGGUCUGUGAGGGCUGCUGGAGGUAUCAGAAGUGCGAAUGCUGACAUAAGUAACGAUAAAGCGGGUGAAAAGCCCGCUCGCCGGAAGACCAAGGGUUCCUGUCCAACGUUAAUCGGGGCAGGGUGAGUCGACCCCUAAGGCGAG